CAUUUGCAUACAUUUGUACAAAACAAAAAUAAGUCUCAAAUCAAAAAUUACAUUAAUGGCUCGAUCCUUUAAACUGUUUGUUACUAUGUUCCUUUUGUUGGUCCUCCUUACUUUUACUGAGAUGGGUCCAAUAAUGCUUGGAGAAUCAUAUAACUGUUAUAAUAAUCCCAAGCUUUGCAUGACCGCUAAAACUUGCACUAAAUUUUGCCAAAAAGGGGGCUAUAAAGGAGGUGGAUGCUUAGAAUUAAAUUGCUGCUGCUAUCCACCGGGCCACCGGGUGUAAUACAAUGGUGAUUGUGGAGAUUUAUUUAUUUACUAUCAUGUCGAGUCGAGUGUGAGAGGUGUGAAUUUUGCUUUGUAUGGAUAAGAUUGCAGGAUAAAUAUCAAAUAAUACACUUUUUAUAGUACGUGUUGCUGAGUACACUCGAAGCAUGAUGUAAUUAUUAAAAUGUCACAAUAUUUUUUUCUUGCU
This is a long non-coding RNA of Ipomoea nil (Japanese morning glory), 472 nucleotides long. RefSeq lists it as uncharacterized. The record is from RefSeq and is a predicted model, not a curated record. Lineage: Eukaryota; Viridiplantae; Streptophyta; Magnoliopsida; Solanales; Convolvulaceae. The transcript is spliced from 2 exons.